CUCAGGACGAACGCUGGCGGCGUGCCUAACACAUGCAAGUCGAACGGAACUGUUUUGAAAGAUUUCUUCGGAAUGAAUUUGAUUUAGUUUAGUGGCGGACGGGUGAGUAACGCGUGAGUAACCUGCCUUCAAGAGGGGGAUAACAUUCUGAAAAGAAUGCUAAUACCGCAUGACAUAUCGGAACCACAUGGUUCUGAUAUCAAAGAUUUUAUCGCUUGAAGAUGGACUCGCGUCCGAUUAGUUAGUUGGUGAGGUAACGGCUCACCAAGACCGCGAUCGGUAGCCGGACUGAGAGGUUGAACGGCCACAUUGGGACUGAGACACGGCCCAGACUCCUACGGGAGGCAGCAG
This 351-nucleotide ribosomal RNA is filed under the name uncultured Ruminococcus sp. RNAcentral describes it as "bacterial SSU rRNA". It matches the Rfam family "Bacterial small subunit ribosomal RNA", at positions 23 to 354 of the family's 1533-position model. Lineage: Bacteria; Bacillati; Bacillota; Clostridia; Eubacteriales; Oscillospiraceae. The record is from RNAcentral.